CCUACGGGAGGCAGCAGUGGGGAAUAUUGCACAAUGGGGGAAACCCUGAUGCAGCGACGCCGCGUGGAGGAUGAAGGUUUUCGGAUUGUAAACUCCUUUUGUUAGAGAAGAUAAUGACGGUAUCUAACGAAUAAGCACCGGCUAACUCCGUGCCAGCAGCCGCGGUAAUACGGAGGGUGCAAGCGUUACUCGGAAUCACUGGGCGUAAAGAGCGCGUAGGCGGGAUAGCAAGUCAGAUGUGAAAUCCCCGCGCUCAACGUGGGAACUGCCUUUGAAAAUGGCAAACUGGAGUGUGUGAGAGGAUAGUGGAAUUCCAGGUGUAGGAGUGAAAUCCGUAGAUAUCUGGAGGAACAUCAGUGGCGAAGGCGACUAUCUGGCACAUAACUGACGCUGAGGAGCGAAAGCGUGGGUAGCAAACAGGAUUAGAUACCCGUGUAGUC
Molecule: ribosomal RNA, 440 nt
Filed under: uncultured bacterium
Lineage: Bacteria
Description: partial 16S ribosomal RNA
Rfam family: Bacterial small subunit ribosomal RNA
Source: RNAcentral